GGAAGCUACCAUGUCAUCCUGAACCUGGGUUUUUUUUCUUCUUGAAUGUUUCAUGUCUAAGUGGCUAAUGGAUUUGAAGACGAAGAAUGUCAGGAGAAGAGAGGUGGAUUUUGGUUUAUGCCACUGUCAACAUUUAAUUCACCCCUCCUUACAAAAUAAUUGAAUUGGCCCUGUUGGAGCUAGCAAAAGGAAACCAAAGACUAUGUUGAUAUCAUCAGUGCACAGGAGAAUAUUCACCAUGCACAGUUAUGAAGAUCUCAUCCCUUCCUUCUUCAGGACGUUUUUAUGGAUGCUGUAUCACUUGUGUUAUUUGAUAGUGAAUGUUUAUUACUAUUCUCUUCUAUCCUCUUUCCUAUCUACUGUCUAAAGGGUGAAUCCUAACUUUCAUUAGAGUGGAUUUUCAUGCAUUGAUAUCAAUGGGAGACUAAGUGAAAAUUCUAUUUAGGAUUCACACCGAGGUUCACUUGUCAGCAUGGACUCAUGCUAUAGUGGUGUAAGGGGUUUAAAAGGACUUGAGAUGGUUUGAAUGCCUUACUAAGAGAAAAAUCUGCAUGUUUUAAAGUACUGGCUGAGCACCAUGUUGAUCUCUAUUCUCUCAGCCCAACUGUUAUCACAACGCCCUCAAAUGGUGGCUAUGAGAACUGACCAGUCACAAGAACGGACCAGUCUCUUCCAAAUGAUGUAUAUGAGCAAUACUGAAACACUUUUACACAGUUGUGAACGGGACACAUCCAAACGACGGUACUAAUGUAGGAUAUGCCCAUUAGGAAACAUCUGUUGUAGAGAAUACAUUUCUUAUUUGAUCUGACACCGUAAGACCCAUGUGUCUCUCUCUCUGGAUUAAGACCACGGGGUGUGUCUCUGCUCUGACUGGGUUUGUGCCACUGCACCACAGUGGGGGGAGAAAGAUGGGGGGGAGAGAGAGAGUAGGGAGGGGGAUAAAGGGGAGAGGGAUAGAGAGAGAAUGGUAGGGAGGAGAGGCGUAGAGGACGGGGGCUGGGAGAAAAGGGAAACGUGAAGGAUGGAGAGAAAGGGUAAAGGGGAGUGAUGCUCUGUGGCUCCUGUCAUUGGUCAGUGAGGAGGAGGAGAGAAGAGCAUCCUUCCUUGGAAAACAGAAAAAGUGCUGACUCACUAUGCUGCAUGGGAGUAGAGGCAACAGCCAAUCAGAACCCUCAUCCUCUUCUCAGACACAAUGGCCCUGUUUUUAACUGGAGUAGGAUGAGAGUGAUUUAAGGUCAGUUUUCUUGUUUUUCACCUCAAUGGUUAGGGUUAGGAUUUGGGGAGGGGAAGCUGAUUAUAGAUCUGUGCUUGUCAGCAACGUCUAUAUGGAGGUAUUUUAACACAAUGCAUUUUAAAAGUGCUUUUUGUCUCAAAAAUGGUCCUAAAUUGAAAUGGAUAAAUUGGACAGAUCGUCAGAAGGACUGGAGAACACUGGUGUAUGGGGAGAGUGGCACCUACACAGAAAGUAAUACAGAGAUAUAUCUUUUUAUAGAAGAGAAAUGCAUAUAUGAGAGAUGUAUUGUAGAUAUUAGAGUUUAUAAUGACUUUAUGGGUACAGUAUGUUCAAAUGACUACUCUGGGCAUUUUAACAGGGGAAAAAUCCGAGGGGUUUUGCAUUAAAAAAAAUGUACAGAAUUAAAAAGAUUCACAAGUUUCA
Molecule: long non-coding RNA, 1657 nt
Filed under: Salmo salar (Atlantic salmon)
Lineage: Eukaryota; Metazoa; Chordata; Actinopteri; Salmoniformes; Salmonidae
Description: lncRNA (ENSSSAG00000099031.1)
Source: RNAcentral